UACAGGGGGGGCAAGCGUUGUUCGGAAUUACUGGGCGUAAAGGGUUUGUAGGUGGCCACUUAAGUCAGAUGUGAAAGCCCCGGGCUCAACCUGGGAACUGCAUUUGAAACUGGCGGGCUUGAGUAUGGCAGAGGGGGGUGGAAUUCCGCGUGUAGCAGUGAAAUGCGUAGAUAUCUGGAGGAACACCGAUGGCGAAGGCAGCCCCCUGGGCUAACACUGACGCUCAUGCACGAAAGCGUGGGGAGCAAACAGG
Molecule: ribosomal RNA, 253 nt
Filed under: uncultured bacterium
Lineage: Bacteria
Description: partial 16S ribosomal RNA
Rfam family: Bacterial small subunit ribosomal RNA
Source: RNAcentral